GAAGUCAGACCAUGUAUUUUUUUCUGACUACAAUAGAAUGAAACUGGAAAUCAAUAGUGGAAGAAAAAGAAGAAAAUUGAAAUAUGUUUAAAUUCCACAUAUUUCCACAAAUAUAAUUUCACAUAUAUACUCUUGCAUAUCCAAUGAGUCAAAGAAAAAAUUAAAAGAGAAAUUAGAUCAUAUCUUGAGACAAAUGAAAACAUAAACACAACAUAUCAAAACUUAUUGGAUGCAGCAAAAGUAGUACUAAGAGGGACGUU
RNAcentral lists this long non-coding RNA (260 nucleotides) under Homo sapiens (human). Its description in RNAcentral is "non-protein coding lnc-BMP2K-6:1". The record is from RNAcentral. Lineage: Eukaryota; Metazoa; Chordata; Mammalia; Primates; Hominidae.